AUGCCAUUUGACGAUAUGGCCAUUACUUUGGAUAAUGUUUCAUGUCUUCUUCACAUACCGAUUAGGGGUGAGUUAGUUGACCCUCAAGAAGGUUUCACUGAAAGUGAUGCUAUUAGACUAGCUAUUGAUCUGAUGGGUGUUCCAUUGGACGAGGCAGCUAAGGAGAUCCAUUUUUGUAGAGGUCCUUAUUAUAGGCUGGAUUGGUUGAAGAUGAUAUUUGUGCGUCAUCGAGCUGCUAGUAGAUUUAACUGUGCUACUAAAGCCUAUAUGACGGUAUUGUUAGAUUGUUGA
This is a non-coding RNA of Vicia faba (fava bean), 291 nucleotides long. The record is from the annotation of a GenBank genome assembly. Lineage: Eukaryota; Viridiplantae; Streptophyta; Magnoliopsida; Fabales; Fabaceae.